GGAGAGGUGGCCGAGUGGUCGAAGGCGCACGGCUGGAAUCCGUGUAUACGGUUCACACCGUAUCGUGGGUUCGAAUCCCACCCUCUCCG
RNAcentral lists this transfer RNA (89 nucleotides) under Allomicrovenator marinus. Its description in RNAcentral is "Microvenator marinus tRNA". It matches the Rfam family "tRNA". From Rfam's summary of the family: Transfer RNA (tRNA) molecules are approximately 80 nucleotides in length. Their secondary structure includes four short double-helical elements and three loops (D, anti-codon, and T loops). The record is from Rfam by way of RNAcentral. Lineage: Bacteria; Deltaproteobacteria; Bradymonadales; Allomicrovenatoraceae.